UAUCCGUCUACGAUCGGUGUUUCAGUUGCAUUUUCCGGCUAGGAACGCGGAAUUUCAGGCUUCACAGUACAAAGUACUGCAACGCACGAAGUCGUCCCAGUUAUCUGAGCACGCUGCAUUUUAAAGAAGAAAAAUUGAACCGAUACCAUACCCACUCGCUUUGCUUUCAUACACGCAUCAACUGCGUGUAAUUAGCAGACGCAGAAAGUUUAACGCGUACUGUUUACUCUUUCGUAACAUGGCAAUGGCCGUUCACAGCGACCGAGUCUGUGCUACGGUAAGCUAGCCGUAGCUAACUUUAAUGCAUUUUAGCGAGGACAACGUGAAGAAAACAAGGAACUCUCGACAUGGAAGCGGGAAGAGGGCGCGAUGCUGGUGCCUCUUUUGAGGCUGUACUGGACAAAAAGUUACUAAACGUGACGAACACCAUGGAUUCCAUUCAAGGGCUGUCAACGUGGUGUAUCGACUACAAGAAGUACCACAGCAUGAUAGUGCGACAGUGGAGCAAGUGUUUAAAGAAAUCUGACACAGCGCACAAGCUCAACCUGUUUUACCUCGCCAAUGAUGUCAUUCAGAACUGUAAAAGGAAAAACGCUAUGGUUUACCGUACUGCAUUUGCUGAUGUGCUCCCUGAGGCUUUUGUGCUAAUAAAACAAGAAGGUGAUGCCAAGAUGGUGAAAUCUGUGGAGAGGAUACUCACCAUAUGGCAGGAGAGAAGUGUGUAUACAGAGGCCCUGAUUGCUGAGCUCAGGAGCAGCUUAGCCAAAGAGGAGUCCCCACCUGUGACACCCUUGGAGCAAAAAACUCCAGUUGAGUCCAAGGCAGAGCUCCGGUCCAAGAUUGUUGCAGAAUUUGUGCCCCAGUCCUUGAUUGACCACCUGUCUAAAUACAAGAGGUCUCUGGAGGAUGUGGACCUACGAGAAAAUCAAUUGGCAACUAUGAGGGUCGACAUCUGCAGUUCUGAAGCCCUCAAGAAGCUAAAAGAUAAGGCAGGAGGAAAGAAGUUCUCCAGGGACUUUGAAGAAGGCAAUAUACAGCUACAAGAGUUUGUUAAGUUCUUUGACAGACAAAACAAAACAGGACCUGCUCUUCUGGAAGCCCUGAGCAAUGCAGAUAUCUUUUAUGAGAUGCAGUACAAAGAGGUCAAGAUUGUCGCUAAUGCCUACCAGACAUUUGCUAACAGAGUGUCCCACCUGAAGCGCAAGCUGGACAACCUAAAGGCCACAUUACCAGACCUGGAUGAUUCGCCUAUUCCUUCGCCCUCUGCUGACGCACCAUCCCCAACAGGCUCCGAAUCUCCUUUCCACGACCUAGAACUGGCCAAGCCUCAUCCAGAUGUGGAUGAUUCCGCUAUGGAUGAUGAAGCAGAACCUCCAGCCCCAAGUCCUCUGUCCUCAAUCGGAGAUUCCCCAAAACCAGUGUUGAAUCUCGGGGAAGAUAACGUUAACCGUGAGGUGGAAGACAUGGAGCUUUCUGAGGAUGAAAUAGUCAGCGGAAGCAUCAUAGUUGAGGAGAAAAUAAAGUGUUCCAGCCCUUUGAAGGCAUCAAAUCCCAUCACCCAAAACAGAGAGCCAUCAGUAGCAACAGCACAGCAUACCUCAUCUGAUGAGGCAUCUGUAGCAACCCUUACAGGAAGUGUGGAAACUGUUGACCUGGGUAAAAUUGGAUCUAUCCUCAACAGUUUAAAUGCGGCCAUGAAAAACACAGGGCCACCAGUGGAGAGUCCUACUACAGCUAACCCCUACUUAUCAGUUGAGACGAUACCGCCUGCCUCUGAAGAUGCCACUUCCUUGGUUGACAUCCUGGCAAAGGUGGACAUGAGUCCUGCAGAUCUCAUCAGUGCUCUGUCUAAGGUCCAAGCUCAAGGUAGCCUUGAUGGCAUCACUUCUCAUCUGAGCAGCCCUGCUGCAAAUGUCCCAGCAGAGUCCUCCAAUACAGGCAAGACUCCUCCCUUACCCUCAUUCACAUCAGCUUCAGCAGCUACCAAUCAGAGCUCCACUUCCUCCUCUGCUACACUGGUGCCUUCUUCACCAUCAAACGCCACUGUAAAGCAGAGCAAAACCUCGCAAAUGGUUACUGAGAACAAGCCAACCACUGCCCCUGUGCAGGAUGUAGCCAAAGAUAUGGAUUUGACAGCAGUGACAACACAAGUAGUAAAACCAGACAGUUUAGAAUCCAAAAUUCACAACUUCCUGCAUGGCAAUCCUGUUUUUAACUGCUUUGACCUUGGUUUCGCCAUAAACCAACCCAAUAGGGUGGAUAACUUGAGUCCUGUAACAGGAACCGACACGCAGGAUGGGACACCAGUGCGUGAUGAGGGUGGAGGCACCCCAACCCAAGAUGAGGUCAUGGAUGUGCCAGUGGGGCUCCCAAAGUCUUCAAGCACAAACACAGAAACUGGGAUGCCAGCUCUCUUUGCAUUCCAUAAAAAUACUUCUCAGAACCCAGAAAACACCAACCUGCAAGACCACCUUCAGCCAGGUGUUGCUCAGAAUGGACAGACGUACCAACCAUACCAAUACAGUGAAAACAGUAUGUCAACUCCUGUUGAACAGUAUCAGCCAGGUGGAGGUCCUGCAACUCAGGGCAGUGCAGGCAGCACACAACCCGUGGAGGACUUUCAGGGGAUGGCUGAUCACUGUUGGUAUGGUCAGCAACCCACAGGCUACAAUGUGCAGAGCCCUGCUAAAAACCUGACGACAAGGCCAUUUGAGUACCAAGCCGAACAAACCAGAGAACCUCAAGGGUUUCAGCAAUCUUCAGAUUUCUUUAGAAACAUCCUUCCUCCUGUUCCCAAGUUACCUCCCCCUCCAAAUGUACUCCCAACAGCUUCCGUAACCAGCCAAGCAAUGACUCUCCCGGAGCAGCAGCCAGCACCCCACGCAGACAUGGGCGAACCUGGUCAAAGCAGAGGUUUGCCGAGGAUGGUGGUCCACGACCAUGGACACAAGUCAGUCUUUCAUCCAGAUGAAUCAUUGUAUGAUCACCCCGAGGAUCAAGACUCUACCCUAGACAACAUGCAUUACCCUAAAGACCACGAGCAUUACCACGAUGAGAUCCCCCCGCGCCCUAGCCCUCGUUUUCAGAACAGCCCUUACAGCCGCCCUGAGGCCCCUUUCUACCAAAGGGGCAGCCCUCGACAUAACCUCCCCAGAGGCAGAGGGCGCUUUACUUCGCCUUCCUCACCCUCCUCCCAGGAUGCUUUUGACAGCCAGGAUUACCAAAGACAGAGCCCCCCUCGUCCUCACUAUGCGCCCAGAUGUCCAGCGCCACCACUCCGUUUUGAGAUGCGCCCCCCUGGUCCGCGACCUCCACAGCGGGUUCCCCGUCCUGCCCAUCCCCCAUUCCCCAGGGGUCCCCCACGCGCACCAUUUCCUAAUUUUCAUGGGCCUGAUCCAAGACUAAGGGGGAAACGACCGGGUCCGAGAGGAGGUCUGAAUCCUGGUCCCAUGUUUGCUCCGAAAAGACCAUUCCCACCUCCAUGGUACUGACUGUAGUAUUGCAACAAAGGUCCAUUCUGUGCACUGGGAGGUCAAAUGUGAAAUGGCUAAAGGGGGAGCUGACAAAUCAAAAAUCGUGUCCAAAUCUAAAAAAAAAGACUGUGAGAAGGAGAGAGAGAGGCCUACAGAUCUCACCAGAAAAGAAAGCAGAGACUCCUACAAGAGUGCUGAAGACAGAAGAUUAAAGAAAAUAAGAGGGCCCCCACAGCCACACUUUGAAGUGUCACAUGUGAUGGGAACUUUCUUCGGAACAUCUUCACUGAUGCAGGUGUAUGUCAGCGGGACCAUGGUGAUUCCUCUCUUUGAAUCCAAGGCCUGUAAGCCUCCAUCUUAUUGCAUCACAGUCUUGUUCGCAGCUGAAUAGAAGGGAAUUGUUUGUGUAUUUACUUGAAUCAGGGGAGUGUAGUUUGCCCACACGUAAGUUUAGAAAAUCUCAUUUAAUGAUCUAUUCCACAUUUUUUUCUGAAACUGAUUACCCAGAAGAAAAUUGGUUAUUAAAAUGUUUUUUAUUUGAAUAAAUUAUAUUUUACAACCAUCCAUCUGCAAGAACUCCCUGUAGUCAUAUUUAGCAUAUAUUUGGUAUACUUGAGCCUAAGGCAAAUCUGAUGUCACGCACCUCACUGUAUGUGAUUUCUCUCAGCCUAGCAAAGUGUAAAAAGGCAAUGAUUAAAAAAAAUGUACAAAACAUACAGCAUAAUAUGAAAUUUAAUUUAGGUAUAUUUAAAAAUUCCAAGUACUUCAAGGGUUAAAGCCAAUGCUUUUAUGCACGUUUUACUGAGCUCAUCGUCAUUUACACUAAUGAUAAUACACACACACACAGUAUAUGCAUGCAUGUGUGUAUAUACAUGGUCAUAUAUGUAUUCAUACCAUUUAUAGCUAUAUUAAUCUAUGAAUAUACUGUAUAUAUAAUCCUUUUGCAUUGUACAGAUUUUCAUUGUUCCUGUAAGAGAGAAUAAAGUCCUUUUUAAAAAAAUAUAUAUAUUUUAAUGCUUGUACAUCCACCCGUCGUUCUGUAUUAUGUGACGAACAGCUUUUGGGCACCAGAUGU
Phyllopteryx taeniolatus (common seadragon) is the source of this 4548-nucleotide RNA transcript. It is a transcript of the gene named regulation of nuclear pre-mRNA domain containing 2a, with no coding region annotated. The transcript is spliced from 11 exons. The record is from RefSeq and is a predicted model, not a curated record. Lineage: Eukaryota; Metazoa; Chordata; Actinopteri; Syngnathiformes; Syngnathidae.